AGCGGCGGAUGGGUGAGUAACACGUGGGGAACCUGCCCCUAAGUCUGGGAUACCAUUUGGAAACAGGUGCUAAUACCGGAUAAUAAAGCAGAUCGCAUGAUCAGCUUUUGAAAGGCGGCGUAAGCUGUCGCUAAGGGAUGGCCCCGCGGUGCAUUAGCUAGUUGGUAAGGUAACGGCUUACCAAGGCGACGAUGCAUAGCCGAGUUGAGAGACUGAUCGGCCACAUUGGGACUGAGACACGGCCCAAACUCCUACGGGAGGCAGCAGUAGGGAAUCUUCCACAAUGGACGCAAGUCUGAUGGAGCAACGCCGCGUGAGUGAAGAAGGUUUUCGGAUCGUAAAGCUCUGUUGUUGGUGAAGAA
Molecule: ribosomal RNA, 362 nt
Filed under: Lactobacillus sp.
Lineage: Bacteria; Bacillati; Bacillota; Bacilli; Lactobacillales; Lactobacillaceae
Description: bacterial SSU rRNA
Rfam family: Bacterial small subunit ribosomal RNA
Source: RNAcentral